Mustela lutreola (European mink) is the source of this 630-nucleotide long non-coding RNA. RefSeq lists it as uncharacterized. Lineage: Eukaryota; Metazoa; Chordata; Mammalia; Carnivora; Mustelidae. The transcript has 4 exons. The record is from RefSeq and is a predicted model, not a curated record.
GCUAGACCGGGUGCAGCCGAAGAGCUUCUGGCCUAAAUUGGCCGGGGCAACGUGUGUUUGGUUGGAUUGGCUGGCGCGGCAGCGUGCGGAGCGCUGAUUGGUCGCUGGGAAUGGAAUGAUUUCUCGUCAAGUGGAUCACAGACAUUUUGCCUUAAAGCACUGAAAGACAACAAAUACAAGUGCAAUAAGGAAGAACGUCUCUGUGGCUCUUGCUACCGCUCUAUCUGCCACAGGUGUGGGGCAAGAAAAAGAAUCACGUUCUACUCUUCUUUUGAUCAUGGGGACGAGGGAAAAGAAGAAUAACUUUCAGGCUGCGGUCAGGCCUCCAGCUGUUCUAAACAUGGAUUCCAUUCUUCUGUAACACUACAAAUGUUCUCUAUGGAUGCAACUUUUUAGGAGGAUCACUUUUUUAUUAAUGAGAAAGAGAGCAUGGAGAAGGAGGGGCAGAGAGUGAGAGAGUCUCAAGCAGACUGCACUGAGCACAGAGUCCGACUGGGGGCUUCAUCUUAUGACCCUGAGAUCACAACCCUGAAUUCAGGACCUGAGCCAAAAUCAAGUGUUAGAUACUUAACCAACUGCACUACCUAGGGACCCUGAAUUGCUAUCUUUCUUAAAAGAUUUGUUGAAAAA